UUUAAAACAGGGCUGUCCAAGCUGCGGCUCCCCAGAUGUUGCUGAACUACAACUCCCAUGAUUCCCUGGCUAUCUUUUUAAUUGAAAGAAUCAUGGGAGUUGUAGUUCAGCAAAUUUUGGGGGGCCGCAGGUUGGACAGCCCUGAUUUAAA
Pelobates cultripes (western spadefoot toad) is the source of this 151-nucleotide non-coding RNA. Lineage: Eukaryota; Metazoa; Chordata; Amphibia; Anura; Pelobatidae. The record is from the annotation of a GenBank genome assembly.